UAGGGAAUCUUCGGCAAUGGACGAAAGUCUGACCGAGCAACGCCGCGUGAGUGAAGAAGGUUUUCGGAUCGUAAAACUCUGUUGUUAGAGAAGAACAAGGACGUUAGUAACUGAACGUCCCCUGACGGUAUCUAACCAGAAAGCCACGGCUAACUACGUGCCAGCAGCCGCGGUAAUACGUAGGUGGCAAGCGUUGUCCGGAUUUAUUGGGCGUAAAGCGAGCGCAGGCGGUUUCUUAAGUCUGAUGUGAAAGCCCCCGGCUCAACCGGGGAGGGUCAUUGGCAACUGGGAGACUUGAGUGCAGAAGAGGAGAGUGGAAUUCCAUGUGUAGCGGUGAAAUGCGUAGAUAUAUGGAGGAACACCAGUGGCGAAGGCGGCUCUCUGGUCUGUAACUGACGCUAAGGCUCGAAAGCGUGGGGAGCAAACAGG
This 429-nucleotide ribosomal RNA is filed under the name Gemmatimonadota bacterium. RNAcentral's name for it is "Gemmatimonadetes bacterium partial 16S ribosomal RNA". It matches the Rfam family "Bacterial small subunit ribosomal RNA", at positions 355 to 776 of the family's 1533-position model. The record is from RNAcentral. Lineage: Bacteria; Pseudomonadati; Gemmatimonadota.